CUAUACAGACAAAAUAGGGUGCCUGCUGAACACUAGAACUUUACGUCUAGGGACCCAACGAGGCACAAGCAAAAGCGGACAAACAUAUCAACCUAAAUUUCAACAGAUAUGUUGCAGGAACUGCCGAUAGUACUUGUUUUUGACUACUGACAGGCAGAAUCCCAUAAUGAAAAACAGUCCUUCAAAUUCAAAUAAGAUAUGCAGGGCGGAGACGUUAAAUGUAUCACGUGACCUUCUUACGUUCGCUUGAGCCUCCCUCUCUGCUAUUUGUGCCUGAGGGCGUUAAGGUUGACCUUGUCCUGAGAAAGCGUAGACUGGCUGCAUGACUCCUCUGGGGAACCGUGUCGCCUCUAACCUGGGCUUGGACGGACGGACGUACGCAAGUGGAAAACUGUGAGGAAAUGGACAUUUGGAGCAGGGAAACCAUGGAGUCAAUUUAGUCACUGUCUACUACCUUUUCGCAUGCAAGUACAAAGCCAGCCUCACACGUUGGUGUUGACAAGAAUUUCUCUCUGAGGAAUUUAGGGACAGAACAAUUCCUAGCAUCUGUUUCCUGCUCUCUUGCUUUGUGUGAAGGAAACAGAGUGUAAAUCACACCAAAUAUAAAUAGAAUCAGGAAUACAUUUUUCAAGAGCUAAAGUCGGUUGCUGUUCCACAGUGUUUUGGUUUUUCAGACACCAAAAUUUGUACCUGCUGUAACAGGAGAAAUAAUUAAAAACACUCGUGUAAACUAAAUGUAUUGCAUUGAUUAGCCUUAAUGAAAUAAAACGUAUUGAACCAAGA
This is a long non-coding RNA of Gambusia affinis (western mosquitofish), 783 nucleotides long. RefSeq lists it as uncharacterized. The record is from RefSeq and is a predicted model, not a curated record. Lineage: Eukaryota; Metazoa; Chordata; Actinopteri; Cyprinodontiformes; Poeciliidae. The transcript is spliced from 3 exons.